AGACAGGCCAGCUAUAACCACCGGGCAGACAGACGGAGCCUGUCCCAUCCCUGACCAAGAUCUCUGGACCCUAAUGGGGCUCACUCUGGCACAGAGAGAGGGACCUUGGGGAGCUGCUUUGGGAGCAGAAGUGGCAGAGAAGUCAGCUGGCCAGGCUCUGAGAUGUGCCCCGUCUUCCGCAGUUGACUGCAGGGCCGAUGCGGUUUGACUCCGUGGGGCCAGGGCUUUGCAGGUGGAGGCAGAGAUUUAAUGGCUGCUGCUGCUGCUGCUGAGUUGUGAGUGAGGAUUUUUCGGGAAUGUAUGUGAAGGAGGCAUCUCUAUACAGCUAAAUUCCUUUAUUAACGUAAUGAGUUUGGCUGCUUUCCUGGAAAUGCAAGUGCCAUUUGGCACCAUCGCUGCUGCUUCAGAAAGGGUGUCAUUAAACUAAGAAUCUGUAGGAAUGCACCAUAGCGAUAAACGAAGCUGCCUGGAGAUUACACAGCAUCACGCAGACUUCACAAGGACCUUCAGAAGGGAGAAUGCUUCCACACUGAGGUGAAUUAAAGGAGAAGCUGGCAUCCUUUAUUGCAGAGUUGACCAUAUACCUGGCCCAAGACCUGGAAAAAUUGAAGGAGGAGACAUAGAAGGAACUGGAGGACGUACGGCUCAGGUGUUCCCCAUACCAGCUCCCCACCAGAAAGGAUCAACAGCCCUCUCUCCAGCGUCUGAAGCUCAUAUGAGCUUACUGUGUGGACCCACUCAGAACCCCAGAGUUGGAAUAAAGAUUAUUUUAAACUGAAGAUAUUUGAGGUUCAACAGAUGCAGAGAAAAGCCUCCUCAGAGCUUCCCUUGUCUGACUAAAAGCAGCAACUUCUGAACCCCAAUCACAGAACCUAAAAGUAUAGAGGAAAAGUUUACCUCCCCUACAUUAUUGAUCUUCUGCCUCCACCUGUAGAGUCUCAGCUUCUAACCCAGAGAUACAGAUGCAGAACAUGCAGUUUUGUUAGGUAUUUGAUGAAUUUGAAAGAGAUACUUUAUUCCUCUUCGAAAGCCUGUUCUGAGUGCUACUGAACUCUCAGUUCAUCCGUGUGCACCACCAGCUGUGAGGGCAGAAUGUCUGCAUGGCCUCGGCCACCAAGUGAGCAGACACGUGGGUUGGAGGGACCAGAGAUGCACAGAGAAGUUCGAGGAUUCCCCCAGAGUUACCGAACCAGCACUGGAGCCAGGCGUGAGCAUCAGUAGAGAUCCUGUGCAAUCUUAAGCAUCAUCCCAGCUGGAGAUGAAAAAGCCAGUUUAAAAAUCUAUGUGGACAUGUAAAGCAUCCAGAUGAGUGAGACAGCAUGGAACAGCCUCCCCGGGAUGUCUGGCGGCUCCUACUUGGUUCCACUGGAAAGAAAAUAAGAGGUCAUUAUUCACAAACAAAGUAGGAGAACGUGUGUCUUUGAAAGAUGUUGGGCGCUCUGGAACCUGGCCUUGCCUACAAAUGACGUUCUGGUGGAAAGGCUGAUUUUUGUGUCAUUAAUUCAAGGGAAAACUUCCCAAAUUGUAGUCGCUGUAUUUUGACUACAGCGUGGUGAAACGUUUAGCUAAGGAAACAGAAAAA
This 1582-nucleotide long non-coding RNA is filed under the name Macaca mulatta (Rhesus monkey). RNAcentral's name for it is "lncRNA (ENSMMUG00000053761.1)". The record is from RNAcentral. Lineage: Eukaryota; Metazoa; Chordata; Mammalia; Primates; Cercopithecidae.